RNAcentral lists this ribosomal RNA (464 nucleotides) under uncultured bacterium. RNAcentral's name for it is "bacterial SSU rRNA". It matches the Rfam family "Bacterial small subunit ribosomal RNA", at positions 28 to 526 of the family's 1533-position model. The record is from RNAcentral.
GAUAAACGCUGGCGGCGUGCCUAAAACAUGCAAGUCGAACGGCAUCUUCGGAUGCAGUGGCGGACGGCUGAGUAACACGUGGGUGACCUGCCUCCGAGCGGGGGAUAACUGCCCGAAAGGGUGGCUAAUACCGCAGACAUCAUGGAUUCGGUUUCAUGAUUGAACCGUUCAGGGUUCGGAGAGGGGCCCGCGGCCGAUUAGCUAGCUGGUGGGGUGACGGCCUACCAGGGCUUCGAUCGGUAGCUGGUCUGAGAGGAUGAUCAGCCAGACUGGGACUGCGAACGGCCCAGACUCCUACGGGAGGCAGCAGUUAGGAAUUUUGGGCAAUGGGCGAAAGCCUGACCCAGCAACGCCGCGUGGGUGAUGAAGGCCCUCGGGUCGUAAAGCCCUUUUCCCAGGGAAGAUGGUGACGGUACCUGGGGAAUCAGCCCCGGCUAACUACGUGCCAGCAGCCGCGGUAAUAC